ACUCAUGUGUGCUCCUAGAUGCAGUACUGAAUUUCAGAAAAAGAAUUCUCCAACGGGGGAGGUUGUAAUCAAGGUAGAAGUGGCCCUGACAGGAGUCUAACCUUCAACCUAGCUUAGGUGGCAUGGUCACACUACUGCGGCCCUACCGCCGGGCUAUUGGCCUGUCCAGUUCUCACAACACUCAUGACUUGUUUGGUCGUAAAAAAGUAUAUGUCACCAAGAUAAGGGUAAUUUUGAGGUGACGGAUUUGUAUUUUUAUAAAGAAAGAAUUCGAAAACUGCAUCUCAUUGUACAUAUUGGACUUUUAUCGAAACAUCAUUGCUCUGCUGUGGUGGACGGAACUGUGUUUUACUUUAGAAUUGUAUAGUUGAUUUGGCAAAGUUGGGUCCAGUAGUUGUUCUCCACAUCCCUGUCUUAAUUUAAGUCCAUUGAUCGAAGAUGACGAUACCUUUUUUUGGCCCGUCAGACAGUCAAAGCGUAGAUGAGGAAAGCAAAGGUCCCACUCUGACAUUUUUCCUGUGACUGUUUAGUUAAAUCCCCCAUAAUCUGAUAUAUAUUAGAGAAUAACAUUUUUUUGUCGGUUCUUUGUUGCUGAUGUCUAUAUGGCCCACAAUUCUUAUAUUGCCAUUUUUUAGCUUGUAAUCUUUUGCUGAACUAAUUGAGCUUAUGAGCCUGUAUGUUCUUCAUAAAAAUAGAAGUGUGCUGACCUUUUUUCUCCUACAUAUUCGUCUAUACCCUGUAUGACCUGUAUGUACUGCAGAAACAAUGGGCAGGACCAACAGCUGCACCAUUUAUGUUGGCAAUCUCCCUGGAGACAUCCGUGAGAGGGAGGUUGAAGAUCUCUUCUACAAGGUACAAUAUUCAAUUUCUUGCAAUGAUUACUUGCAAUGCCUUCCUUAUGGCUUUGGUGAUUAUAUAAUCCUGAUAACUAUGGAACAAACCUAUGAUGCAUGUGCUCAGUGUAAAUUUUACAUUACUUUUGGCAGUUUGCAAUAAGCUGCAGCCUGUGAGUUAUGAUAACUUACACCGCAUUGUAAGGAACUAUGAUGUCUUUGCUCAUGCCAUAAGUUUCUUCUUCGAUGUAUCAUUAUGCAGUAUGGCCGUAUUGUGGAUAUUGACUUGAAGAUUCCUCCACGACCUCCUGGCUAUGCUUUCGUUGAGGUCAGUAUUUUGUUAUGGCCAUGUUUUCUAUAAGAAGAUUUUACUACUGUUAGGACUGAGGAUUAUAUUCAGAAUUGUGAAGCCCUACCAUUAUUAUUUUGGUAUUAUUUAUAGUCUGGACUAAGGCUUGAUCAAAUGCUUAGUUCUCGUAUGACUAGUUGUUAGAUGUUAACAAAAAAUAAUAAUGCUUUUGUAGUUUGAGGAUCCCCGUGAUGCAGAUGACGCAAUUUAUGGCCGUGAUGGGUAUAACUUUGAUGGCUACAGGUUGCGGGUAUGUGUGCAUGUUGAAGUGAACACAGCUCUGUUUUUUCUCAUGCAUUCGGCUUGAAAAGUUAUCUACUCAGGUGGAAUUAGCUCAUGGUGGAAGAGGCCAAUCUUACCAGUAUGAACGCCCAAGAAGCUAUAGCAGUGGACGCCGUGGAGGUGUUUCUAGGCGCUCUGAGUACCGUGGUUUGUACUUCUUUCUUGUGAAUAACUUGAUUGAUAUCUCUGGAUGGAGAUCCUUAUUUGUUUUCAUUUUGUGAACCACACAGUUUUGGUUGAUGGGUUACCUUCGUCAGCGUCAUGGCAAGAUCUCAAGGUACUGGAAUUGUAUAUCACUUGUAUAUGUAGCUUUUUCGUACAUUACUUAUUUAGUUAAUUUAACUUAUUCAGGACCAUAUGCGACGGGCUGGCGAUGUCUGUUUCUCUGAUGUAUACCGUGAGGCUGGAGGUUAGUGAUAAUGCUUCUAAAUUAUUUUCUCAUUACACCAUAUUAGUGUACACAUUAGAAAAUUGAGGAAUUAAUAGUUUGAAUAGGUUACCUGAACUGUAGUUGCAUUGUCCUUUCCAAAUCAGAAUCCCAGCUUAAUUAUGGGUGUGUGCCAUAUUGAUGAAAGUGUUUUUUGUUUGUGUUGCAGCAAUUGUUGGAAUUGUGGAUUAUACAAACUACGAUGACAUGAAAUAUGCGGUAGGUUUUGCUUUCUGGAAUGAACAGAUUAUUUUGAAUAUUAUUCAGUAUCAUCUGUUGCUGUUGGAGAGGAUCUGUUGAGGGAGCAUUUCAAAGAUGUCCGUUACGUUCCUGUUUUAGUCGGGAUGUACUUAUGAUUCUAGGUCAUCUUGCAGAUUAGGAAGCUUGAUGGUACAGAGUUCAGAAAUGCAUUUUCACGGUCAUAUAUCAGGGUAUGGGUUUACUUCUUUUCGACUAAUAGUUUAACACUAGUUAAAUUGGCAUCCGCACGCUCAUUUGAUUGUAAACUUGCAUCGACUUAUUAUUAUUAUUAUUAUCAUUAUUCAAUCAUAGGUGAGGGAGUAUGAUGCUAGAUCAAGAAGCAGAAGCCGUAGCCUUUCUUACUCGAGAAGUCGCAGCUGCAGCAGGAGCGAGAGUCCACGGUAUCUUAUUUAUUCUUUUCUUUCUGAUUUACAUUUAGGUUUUAUGAAAGCACUGAUUCUUGAGUACAUAAUUUCUUAGAUCUGUCUCUCGAUCACCGUUACCUGUGGAUGAAAGGUAUGCCAUUCUAUAUUGAUAUACCUUCAAGUUCGUUUAUAGAAGUAAUGGCAAUUUGGUUCAUUAAAGAAAUGGAAGCAAUCUGAUUUCUGAUAUAUGGUGUGAAUUUGUGAUACAUAUAAAGAUAAAAAUAUUGGAACUCCAGUUUUUACAGGCAUGCCACUUCUAAGGUUACAAGAAUAGAACUAAUUCCAGGAAUGGCUGUUUUGAUGUAUUUUUUAUUGUUCUUUAAGUAUAAAUAAAACCUAUGGUUAAUUCUUAUGAAGAAUCACUGUUUUAGAUGUUAGCUUGUCCCAAAUUUGGCCAAAUGAAUAAACAUGCAGUGCUAGCUGGCUAACCUGCAAUGUUUAAGGUUUGCUUUUGUUUUUCCUAGAUCUGGCCAUGCGGCGAUCUGGGGACUGCUUUCAUAGAAUAUUGGAUGUAUUGAGUUCGGAGAGGAUGGUUGGAACUUUGGAUAGUAGAGCUGGAUUAUCAGCAUGUAUGGCAAGUGGGCAACAAGUCCUAGGAGCAAGAUAGUCCUGACAGUAAGGAUAUGUGCAGUGGGUCUUGUGGUAUUAUUUAAUGGUGUUAAUUGUAGGCUUAAAUUUCAAAUAUUCGAUAAACAUGGGCUUCAUUUUCAUUGGGCUCUAAACCUUCUUUUAAUUAAUCUUGCUAUUCUGCUAAAAAUAUAGAUCAACGAUGUUAGGUAAUCAUAAUUUACUUUGGGCAAGUUAAGUGUACAUACUGAGAAGUUGGUAUUAACAAAUGAAGGAGUACACCCUGUUUAGUUCUGCUGUUCAGUUUCAGUUCUAAUAGUCACAGCUAUAGGUUCAAUCAGAUAUGUCAAAAAAAAUUAUACCAGUAAGCAUGGAGCGCAAAAUCCAUACUAAGCACUAGGAUUCCUCUGUCCUAUACUCUUCACGUACUGUUACAUCCAUAGCCGAUGGGUAUAUCUAUGGCUGUUGGUUCGAUUUCAGUGUUAAUUUUGGAUGACACCACACUUUGAGUAAUGAACAUUACUUCUGAAACCUUUUGCAGAUCGCUGUCAAGAUCCCGAUCCCCCGAUUCUUCUGUAAGUCUUGCAAUAAGAGCAACAAAAUCUCAAUUUGAGUGGCUUGUCAAAGCAGCUAAUGGGAUUCUUUUGCAGGCCUCUCCUAGAAAAUCUGUGAGCAGAAGCCCUAGCAGGAGCAGGAGCUUAUCCCGGUCUGCAUCUCCUGUAAUACAGAACACUUUCCAACCUCUACCCGAAGAUCACCAAUAAUAUACUUGAAGCUUUACGCUGACAAAGUCGUUUAUUUCCUGGCAGGUGAGAUCUGAAUGAUCCUGUGCGCAUCUGGAAGUAGUGGGCGACUACUCUAGGAUCCAGGGACGUAGAGGAAUUAGGAUUACGAGUUUAUACCUCGCCUCUGGGGUUUCAGCUGCUGCGCUCAGAUCGCUGCUUUCUGUUUUAUCUGCACAACAUUAUAUUGAUUUGCGGAACAGAGUCAUUGCCUAGCAUGCUUGUCUAUGUUGAACUUGUUAUGUGUCCUGUACUCGGAGAUCAACAAGUGUUCUGUACUCAGAGAUCUGUACUCUAUGGUUAGUUUAUGCACUGUUGGCGUUAGUUUUAUGCACUGUCGGCGUUAGUUUUAUGCACUGUCGGCAUAGUAACAUUUGGGCUUUCGGGAUGAACCCUGCUCUGUUUGUUAGUAACUUACUUAGUGACCCUUGUUGUUUUUGGUAUUGAUAAACUGUAAUGGAAUCUCAAGAUGGCAACGGCCCGAAACGCAUCUCUACCAGUUUGUUCAUGGGCCAAAAUAGUUUUUGAAGAAAGUAUAGAUUUUCACCGUAAAAUGUAUUGGAGCAGAUCUAACUUAGAAAGCAAUUUUAAUACCGGCACCUUUCUAACCGUCUGAUCCGUGUUGAGAUCCGUGUGUCAGGGGAUAACCUUAACUUGAAGUUGGUAUAAUUUACACCCUAAAAUCCUACCUAUCCCUGAUUGUAAAUCCCUUCCUAUCUUGCUGCCGCCCUUCCCCCUCUCUCUUGGUCCUGCACUUAGCAACUUUCUUGCCCUCCGUCUCCACCACGCGGACGCCUUGGUUUGAGCCCGCAAAUGCAUUGACAAAAAUUUGUUUGGUUGAGAUUUUGUUUGCUGAUGAAUUGAUCAACUUUGGUAAAAAAAAAAAAACUAGAGUUGGCAACGGAGCAUUGGCUUGCCUCACAAGAGCCAAAUUUUGGUCAAUGACCAAAUAUUUUGCUGGGUGAAGUUUGGUCACCAUGCAAAAGAUACUUCUACUCCCUUCGUGGUGGUGCCUCGCACCAUCGCCUCCCGCCUGACCAAUCCCUUCUCGUCGCGUUGCCGCACGUCCACUCCCUUCAUGUACUGAACUACGGCUGGCCGAUUUUCUCCUCAUCUCUCCUCCCAAAUCGGUCGACAAGGUGUCCCCAUCUUCUGAGGAAGUAGCCGACGCCUCGGAAGCCAUCCCCGGAAGUGGCUUUUUGGUGCAACCAAACCAAAAGUAAUAAGUUAAGCCUAACCAAACAGACCCCAUCGAAAAUAGUUUAGACAACGAUAGCAAGUAUGAAGUGAAAAAUAGCCUACCAAAACAUCUUAUAGUAUUUAGAAACAGAGGUACUCCUAAAUACUAGACUAGUAAUCGUUCCAAGUGGAGGGUGGAGGCGGGAGUCGGCAUGGACGCAAGUGGAGGCCAAGGGUGUUUGCAAGUGAGGAGGGUGACGGGUCUACGUGAUUCUAUUUGGGAAGGUGCGUACUCUCGAGCGAUUCUAGCUAGAUUAAAGACACAUCGAAUGACAUGAAUCACCGAGAGUAUCUAGUAUUCCAUUUUUGGAAUGAAGGAUCGAGAUUGUUUGGAUUUGACACCACUUGAAAUUUUAUCUGCUUUUUAUACACAGAGAGGAACAAUAGUACUUUAUAAUGUUAGCUUUUUACUAUUAAAUUAGUAAAAAACCUUUUACUUUUAAAUUAUAUUUAAUUUAAGAGUUAAUAUCACAAAACUCCUUGUUUCUGACGAACUAUAUCACAUAAUACACAUUUUCGUUCUUUUUCACUUAACCCAUAUUUUUAGACUAAACCGUAUCGCAAAACCCGUAAUUUCGCUGUCAACGCUGCUAACAUGGAAACUGCCAUGGGACCCCACCUGUCGGCCUCUGAAACGAAAACUAGCCUAGCUUUGUCCGGUCGGGUUCGGUUUUCUCCCAUGUUUAUGCCACUUCGGGCGGGUUCGAAGUUUAUGUAUAGAGGGUCAGGGCGUUCCAUGACACCUCAGUCGCAGAUACAGCGCAAGCGCCGCCAAAGCCUCCGGCCGCGAGCUCGUGCCGGCUUGAACCGGCAGAAAAACGACCAGACCAGACAAAAGUUAAGCCAAAUUUCGUUUCAGAGGCUGACGGGUGGGCCUCCAUCGCAGUUUCCAUGUUAGCAGCGUUGACAGCAAAAUUACGGAUUUUGCGAUGCGGUUUAGUCCAAGAAUACGUGUUAAGUGAAAACCCCUGAAAAUCUAUACUUUUGUGAUACAAUACAGUUCAUCAAAAACAAGCCGUUUGUGAUAUUUACUCUUAAUUUUUUUUUAGGAACAUUUACUCUUAAUUUGAUCUAACCACGCUUGGACGCUCAGGUCAAAAUACCGGCCAUUUACCAACAGCCUACUCGCGAGCUCCCCGAUCCCAUCGGCGAGGCUAGGCGGCCGCUUGCGACUUUUAUCGACAAGGUGCGGCGCCCAUAUCCCUUUCGAUCUCUUACCGGCAGCAGGGUUGGGGGUGCUUUGGUAUAUGAUUAGUGGAACUAUCUGACGAUCUUUGCUCCCUUUGUAGGUUUCGUUCGUGGUUGUUCUGUCGCGGGUGUAGGGCGCUGCUGAUGGCAGGGACGCCGAAGAACGACGCGGCAGAGGCGGCCAAGAUGGACCUGCUCGAGGAUGACGACGAGUUCGAGGAGUUUGAGGUCGACCAAGGUUAUAACCCCUUUCUUAUCGAUGCUCGUUGUUGUAUGUAGUGGUAGAUCUACGCGCCCAGCCCUACCAGAUUUGUUCCUUUGUAGAUCUCGCUGUGCGUUCCAAAUAGAUUUAGCCCGAAUGGAAUACGAGUUUGGGAAGUAUGUUCAUCUAUCUUUACGGUCAUAAUUCCCUAAAAAUAUCUUGUACGGUCAUAUAACGAAACAAAAAAGUCGGAAGGAGAAAGACUAGCUUGCCAUGACAUCUCUACUUCGCUAAUGCUUGCCUCCAAACUUCGCGUUUGUGUGUUUAUAUUGUUGUAUCCGUGGAAGUUUAUAUGGCACUCUUCCACUGCCUAAUUAGCAAAUCCGAUUGUGCCAUCUGAGAUCUGUCAUCUGUGCUGAUAUUGAGUAUUGUCGACCUUCCAACCUUUCAGUUGGAUAUGGACUCAUACAUCUUUUUACAACGGUUUAGGGAUUGUAUGCUUCAGUACUUUGUGUAGAACUGUAUGAAUCUUAAAGAAAAAGUAAUUAUCAGCGACAGAGGCAAAUCUUUGUGAAUCAAUAUCAAUCAGUUUGAUUGUACAAAGCUGUUUUGCAUGGUUAACACACAAGGCCGAUCAAAUAUUUCCAACAAAACUGUAUUGCCAAUGACUUGCCAUGAGUACAUUAUUUGAAAACUAAGUAGAGCAUCUCCUAAUUCUUAAUUGGAUAGCCGUUAAUAAUUGUUAGCUGAUCUCGUACAACAAACAGUUUCACUCACUCACUCACUCCGUUGGACCUUGUUACUACCGCUGCUGAAAGCACAGAAUAGUGAAACUGCAUUAUUCUGUUGUUGUUUUUAGGAAACACAUUGUCCUAUUGUAAACCCCCACUUACUGCACGCGGUUUGUCCAUGACUUCAGCAGUAAAUGGUAAAACUUGGCAGCUAAUUGAUUUACAUCUUUAAUCUUUCACACGCAUAACCUAGUAAUCCUGGGAAGAGAGAAUAGGCAUAUUGAUUAAGUGUGUGAAAUCAAACUAACUACAAUACAUACGAAUUUUACCCUAAUCAUCAAUAACAACUUUUGCUUUAACAUUCACAAACUGUUUAUAAAUGGGGAGUACUGAAGCAAAACCCUUACUUGGACAAGCAUCAAUUUUUUAACUUGCUUGAAGAAUGACCUCGAAGGAGGAUAGUAAUCUGUCUUACAUCCUAUUUCCAUGUUGUUUGUCUACAGUACCGAAUCCUUGGUAUAUUUAGGACAGUCCAUAUGUGCCACCUGAUCAGGUUGACCAGAAAAAGAAUGCAUAGAUCUAAUUUUGUUUCCUAAAGCCCAAAUGAUGUUAAAAUUCAGUCCAUUGUAGCAGUUUGGUCUUUUCAUAUAAUCAUUUAUCGUAGAAAUUGACUUUUUGCUUACAAAUAUCAUGGCUAUGUUACUUUACAUUCAAUCCACGACCCUGUUCCUUUUAUGAUCCUGAAUGAUAUGUUGAUACAGUAUUUCAAAUUCUGACAAUGAUUUAUUCUUACAGUAUCUCUAUCUAAACAAAAUAUCCGUCGAUUGAUCAAUAGUAAUCUUUCUAGUAUCCUAUUGCUACGUGAUUUGUCUUGGGACAAUCAUAUGUGCCACCUGAUCUGGCUGGCAAGAAAGAGUGCACAAUUCGAUUUUGCCUGCUUUACUUUUUAUUUCUAAGGCCCAAAUAAUGUUAAAAUUCAGAUCAUGCUAGCAGUUUGUUCUUAUCAUAUAAUAUUUUUAUCCCAGGAUUGACUUCUUACUUACAGAUAUUAUGGUUAUCGUUACUCUUAUAAAGAACUCAAUUUGUGCUGGCACCUUGGUGGUCCGUCACCUUAAGUCCACCUAUUGAUUAGAUACACACUGAGAUGUUUGGCGUAUGGGUUAUUUGAUCCCAGACAGCAAAACGAUAGUACAACAUUCUCUUUAAACAUGUAUUGUAUUUUUCUAGUCUCUUGCGACACAUGGGUGAUGUGCUAGUGUUAUUUGUGUUCCAUCCAUUACCCUGGUUUUUCUAAAAUUCCGAAAGAUAUGCUGAGAAAAAAAUUAUGAUUCAGACAGAAAUGCUGGUACCGUAUCAAUCAGACCUCUAUCGUUCAAAUUGUGACGGCUAGCAAUUCUUAAGAGUAUCUCUAUCUCAAAAAAAACAUUCAUUGACUGAUGCUAUGUUCUCGUACAAAUAAAUUUCUGAAUUUCAGAGUGGGAUGACAAGGAAGAUGGGGAUGAAGCAGUUCAGCAAUGGGAGAAUGACUGGGACGAUGAUGAUGUCAAUGAUGACUUCUCCUUGCAGCUCAGGAAAGAGCUGGAGAGCUACUCGUCAAAGAACUAGGAUUUGCGGUCUUGCAUUUGCGUUCUGUGAUCUUGUCCGACAACAGACAGCUACAGGCACCAUGUGUUCCUGUGAUAAAUAGUUCUUUCACAUUUUUUUUGUCAGACAACAGUACAGCACCAUCCUAGCAAUUUUAUUUUGACAGAAACUGCAGUUCAGUGAUCUACUGCAAUAUAUGAAAAUAAAAUGGGUGAUAAAAAAGAAGGGUACUGCUAGAGGGCAUAGUGUCAUCAAAACGAUCGCAACCAUGUUAACAUGAGCAAUCAGGACUUCAGGAGCUUGUCAAUGCGAAUUCUCAAGAGCAUCUUCUUGGUGGACGCUUCACCGUGGACUCACAGCGGCACCACCAAGAACUACACCUCCUCAAUGGCGACCUCGCCGGGCGUCGCUUUGCUCGUCACCGUGGACUCCAUCAGGAUGAAUUUCGUCUUGCCGGUUGCCGCGUUCUGUAGCGCGUGAGCCCAGAGCUUGUACCCAUACAAGUUCACGGCCUGGCCAGUGGCCGCCUUGUUCGCCCUCGCACACACCAGCCGACCACCGAGACGGCCAUGAGGAACACGCGCCCGUCGCAAGUCCGCGGAGUUUGUGAAUCCGAAAACUUAACGACGACAAACAACCAUAGCUAAGAAAUAAGAAUCCUCGCGUGGACACGGUUAGCGUACGGUUGAAAUCCGAAUCCUACAUUUCAUCGUGAAUAGACAAUCAUUAGGAGACCGAGACGAGUUCCGAUUCAAGCAACCAAUGGCGGCAUGAUCCGCUGAUAAAUAUGCAGCAGCCCUGCCCUGCCCUCCCUUCAUCUUCCCUUGCAACUGAGUACGCCACCUUCAGAACUUCCUCUCGAUCGAUCGAUCAGGGGAUCCAUGGCUUUCAUGGAUCGCAGCGCCUUGGAGCUCCGCGCCGCCUUCUCACACGGCGGCCGCGUUCAGCAGCACGCAUUCCUCCGCUCCAUCGGCGUAGCACUCCCUUCGCUUCCACCUGCCGACUUCGCUCCCGCCCCUGUCCAUCACGCCGCCCAUGCCAAGAUCGAGUAUCCCGUCAAACCCCCGGCGACAUCGGAGCUGUACGCUGCCGCAAUGGACGCUCGCCGUGGGCAGCGGGCUGUCAAGAUGCCCAUGUUCCCGGACUCCAAGACACGGCCGCGGCUGUGUCCGGAUUACGACGACGACAUCGACGCCAACCUGAAGUUUAGGGUUUAUGUGUGCGUUUUCCGAGUUCGUGGACUAAAGUGUUCAUUUUUGCGGAGUUCAUGGACUAGUGGUGUAUUUUACUCUAAAGAAACUCACUUUUGGCAUGCUUCGUGAGUACUUCUUAUACAAAUCCAACUCACUUAGUUCCGCACGGAGGGAGUAUAAAAAUUGCCAAUGGAAGAACCAUUUUCUUGAAUCUUUUAUGCAAGGGUAUAAACUACCGACAUGGAUCUGUACGAGAUGCGCAUUUUCGUUUCUGAAUGUUCUCUGCCUUAGCAUUCUAGAAAAUAUGUUCUCUGCUUUGCUGUCAGCCUGAAGUGUACAUGUCCAUUUUCUGAAUGACUCUGAAUACAUUCACGAUGACACACACUGAGCUCUGUAAGAAAUAGAAGUAUGAAUGUCUUUUCAUGGGUUCAGAUCAUGCAACAGUUAAAGAUAUGUGAGAUUUCUGUAAGCAGGUCUAAAAUGUAUCAAACUUUCAAACUUAUAUUUUGUGCAAAUCAACAAGCAUGACUUGUUUGCAACUUCAAGGAAACAUAUCAUCGGCAGCAGAAAACCACAUCUUUUCAAGAGAAACAAUAUGUUGGUUUGCAAGAACUGGAUUACCGAGCCACCUUCAAGAAUGCAUGGUCAGAGAUCAAUCUGAGUUCUCUAUGAAUUGAACACCCAAAAUCACACAUUGCGACAAUUGCAGAUAAAAUGCUUGGAGUGACACAAGAGACUGUAUGAUUAUGACAUGCACAAUUUUUUUGGGGGUAGAGCGUAGGUGCUGUAUCAUGUGGAAUAGACACGUCGUUUGAUGCAGUUGCGCUUGGUUGUGAUAUUCAAGAUUGUUGAAAUAUAUCGACGAUUUUUCCAUAGUAGAUCAAGGUGAACUCCUUAUGUGCUAAUUCAUUAUGGUCUUAGAGUCAAAAGAUCUCAAGUUCAAAUACAUAUGAUCAUAUACCUCACUUUAGUUUGCAUUUUGAGGAUUUGUCUCGCCUUAAGUCACUUACAUGUGGGGUCUAGAACCAUCUGUUAACUUCAAGAUCACGCAAAAACGUUAUUAAUAAAAAUUAGCUAAGUGCGUGUGGUCAUUGUGUAGUUUUUAUAUUAAUUUAAUUUAAAUCUAAUAAAUGAUAUUUAUGUAAGGAAUAUAUUCUUCUCCUUCUGGACUUUUUGGUCUUUAUUUGGCCAUAAUUUUAGAAUCGAGAAAAAUUAGAUAAGAUUUGAUGAGGCCUAAUUUCGAAAUGGGAGGAUGCCUACAUUGAUUACACGUCUAAGGUACCGUGAAGCCAUCUAAAUAAAAGAUCUGAUGGAGCCUAAUUCGUCAGUGACACUGCUCAAAUUUGUUGCUAAGGUACCGUGAAGCCAUCUAAAUAAAGGGUUUGAUGGAGCCCAACUCGUGAGGGACAGUGCUCAAAUUUGUUGCCGAUCUUUCUCUGGCAGUUUAAGUUUUUGGGCGAACUAGUUUGGGGCGUCAAUUUAAUAAAGAGUCUACAUGUACUCAUACAGCAUUAAUGUCCGUUCUGGCAUGCCAAAUCAAAAAGUAUUGAAGGGCUGCACAUUGAUUCGCUGGCAUGGAGGGGAUACACGGAAGAAAAACAAGCUUGCCUUCCUUUCGCGAAGGAAAAGGAUGCACCUUCCAUAGUGAGGAAGUGUUGAUGUGUUCCUAUCCCCAUCCACGUUCGAUCUUCCACACUCAUAAUUGAUGGGCCUGCGUUUGAGCUUCUGUGCUUGUAACUAUUGGGCCCACGCUCGAGAUCAUGUGUCAAAAAGCAUUUUUAAAAUUAAGAGAAGACAUCGUGCUGGAAAUUAAAGACAUAUGUGCUUGAAAUUAAAGACACAAGACACGAAGAUGACACAUACGAAAAAACCAAUACACGUUGCGCCAUUGUAUUAAUGCAUGCACAAUGGUUUUUCCUCCCGGAUACCACAUAGGAGAAUCGUUAAGAUGAAAUGAAAAUGAUGUUUGGAUUCAUUUAACAAAGAGACGAUCUCUUCGUAAUAAAGAUAUAAUAGUUUUUUAUUAUACCAGAUUGCAUUUUGUUAUCUCACUUUUCUUAAAUAGAUUUAAUCACAUAGUAGUAUGUUUUUAGCAUCAAUUGCAAGGUAUGACACUAGGUAAAGAUAACCACUAUUGUACACUGUGUUCUAUUGUCUUCUAUAAAUAGUUAGGGUUAAUAUGGAAUCACAACAAAGCCACUAUGCGUGUGCAAAUGCAUAUAAGCAGAAUUUCCUAAUUAUAUAGCUAGGGAAAUAGGAGAACUCAUCGUUAAACGGUUAGAUCAGAAUUGAUAUGUCUAACACGUCGUUUUGGACACUAAAUUUUAAAUGACAUGUUAGCACACAUCAUGGUUGUUUUGGCCUGACAGAAAUUAGAAAAUGAGGCACAUAGAGCACUAACAGAUCUCAGCAUUGCACGGAAAAUCAUGACAGAAAAAACGGUUAACCUAGAAUCGACGUCACUAAUAGAGUUGGUGAAUUAAGAACGAAAUAUUAUCUCUUAGCUGCAUUGCCACUAUGCCUUCAAAACAACAUUCUUCUAGUGAUGCUGAAUCGUAUAUGAUAAUUUUUCACUUUCGCAAGCAAAAAUAGAAACUAUUAGACUAUAAACGUUGGUCUCAUAGCUACCCAUUUUUCUAUGCCAACAAGACAACAGUCCAUUAGAGUCACUCUCACAUUCAUUGUUGGCAACGAACUGUACGUUCCAACUUUGAUUGGCAACUGUCCGUGUGCCAACAUAGCACUUAAGUACUAUGGCCCUUACUAAGUGGUUGAGAGGACGAUUAACAAUGUGGUAUACAAAGUGCAGCUUCCACUGGGGUGCCUGACUUUUUUUCUUGUCCAACAAACAACUAGAGCUUUGAUUUCUCAUACAUAGAAAAAGAGUUGACUAGUUAACGAGUGGAACCGGCCAAAAACCGGGCCCAACCUCUCAGAGCCUAUACAGUCCCCCAAAACCUACAAGCUAGUGGUCCAAGCUUUUGCCAAGAAACUGCUUCGCCAACUAAUUGACACCGCCGCCAUUGCUAGGAGAGAGAGAGACCAAGUCUACCAUAGGAGGAGAGGAGCUUGAACACUCCCAUAGUGGCUAGGUGGGCAACACGUUACAGGAAGCACGUGCGAAAAGUGACGCCCAUUAGGAGCUUGGUUGCCCACAAGACCCAAGGCAAACAGCUACACUGCAACACAAACACAAACACUCAGGGGGUAUCGCCUUGAUGUCUAACCGCUAUGCUCCACCCCGUGCAGUUGACCAACACCACCUUUCAGGUCAUCGCCUCGGCACCCAUCGCCUGCCAACGAGGUGCAGCGCCGCAUGACCUAGACCGCGCGCGCGCGUGUGUAUAUACACAUUAAUGCAUUAGUUCCCCUACAGCCACCAUCCUGUCGACAAGAACAAAUAGCGCAACAACCACCAUUUUGACAGAGUCUUGGGCCUACAAGGAGAAGCAUGCAACCAGGCUAGGCUAGGGCUGCAUCGCCACCACAUCCUUAGGCUGGCGCCCUGGCUUCCACACGCCUACCUUUGCCGCCCACUUGAGCCAGGCAACCGCCACCGCUUACAGCAUGAAGAGAGACCCUAGCCAUGUUUGAUAAUGAGACCGGUGCCACCGUGACGGAAAAACUGGUAAUAGCGACACAAGGAGGACGAGAGCACUCGCUGUAGGGGUCGGUGUUUUACCGUCAGUGCUGAGUGACAUGACCGUACCCAGGUUGAACUGACAAAGUGCACAUGACAUUGGACAAAGUCUUCAAGAUAUCUUAACUACAUAUAUACACCCCUAAAUUUAUGCAUGAAAUACUUAUGACUUGUAACUGCAUACCCCAUCGUGUCAAAUCUAAGUCGACACUCCGCAUGAGAGUGGAAAGAGAAGACAUUAAAGAUGAGAGGUUGCGAUAGUAGUUAGGGCGUGUACGAUGGGGUGAUGUCAACAUUUUCUUAGCGAUGCCACAUAGGAUAAAAUCUGACGUGGAAAAGAGAGAAACGAAGAAAAGGCAGAACCCUUCUCUUAAUUAAUACUCCCUCCGUUCCAGAAUUCUUGUUGAAAUAUUACAUGUAUCUAGACACUUUUUUAUGAAUAGAUAGAUACAUCCAUUUUUGGGCAAAUUUGAGACAAGAACUAUGGAACGGAGGAAGUAGAUGAUUUCUUCAAAAAAAUGAUAAGGCAAAGAUAAGACACAAUUACCAUUGUACUGGAUUUCACCUUUUCUUAUCAUUUAUUUAGUUAAUUUUAUUCAUCUAAGUAUUAAUUCUAAGAUAUAACACUAAGAGAUAACUCAUGUUGCAGAUAAGGACAUGCCCUAGCACUGCUGUUUUAUCACGAUUCAAUAUUCUGGUGUACCUGAUUAUCUGCAGGCUAACUUCUUCCGCAAGCCAUUUUCUAGCGACACAUGGUCAAGAUGAACAUCCCGGACGAGCGUGGGGCCCACAGCACGCUCAUCGGCAUCUACAGGCUACAGGUGGUGAGUGGUGACGGAUGUGAAGACGAGAGUCAAGGGAGGUGCGAGGCCUCGUGUGGCAAGGAAGCGCGGGGACCGUCGUACGAAUGGGGCCGGAAGGCAGCGAGGCCGGGCAAAGCCCUCGGUUUACGGUCAGUGGGACCGGAUGGUCAGUGCGUCUGGGAGGCGGAAAUAUAUAACCCUCCCUUCCCUGUACCGUGAGAACUGAACAAAAUCUGAAUUCCCAUCUCCCUUUUAUUUGCUCCUCAACCCCUUUCCUCCCAAAUCGCUCGCAAUUGCGCGUUCCCCAACUAGCCGCUGGUCGAAUUUUGCGAGGAUCCCUUCCGGGGCCUCACGGAUCUCUCCGCUGUUCAGCCGCCAACCAUGGCGCCGGCCCCGGCCCCGGCCUUGGAUGUCGAUGGCGAGGGUGGCGGUGCCAACGGCCAGAACACGGUGAAAUCCGAUGUUCACGGGGAACUUGCCACCCCUCCCGUCAUGCCUGUGGGCGGCGGCCCCGUGCCCGGCGAAUUCCGCCCAGAUGGCCCGGUCGUGGCGGUUCCUGAGGAUGGUAUCGACUCCUCUGAUGACCCCGCGCCGGUUAUCGAUGUCGGGGGCGAGGGCAAGGGCAAGGGCAAGGGCGAGGCCGACGGGGGCAACGCGGUGCUGGAAUCUGCGACCGAACACCGCGAGGGCGACGUGGGCAACAACCUGGGUGACGUGGUGCUGAAAUCUGCGACCGAGCACUGCGAGGGCGAAGGUGCCCUUCUCGCCCCUUGCUCCGAACCUUCUGGUGCUGAUCCUGUGGGAGGAGCUUCCUCCUCUUAUGACCCGCCGCCUGUGGGGAGUUCAGGGCACGUGACUGACGAGCGAGGAGGGGAUACCACGGAGUGCUCGAGCUCGUUUGCGGAUUCUCUUUUUGAGACCGAUGAUGAGGCUGGCAAUGAAGUGAGUUCCCCCUUUUCAGUUCAUGAUGAUGAAGGUCAAUCCUCAUUGCUCCCUAGGUGAGUCUUUCUAUCAGUUCCUCGUAUGCUCUCAAUGACACAGGCUGGAUGAUUAUGCAAUUCUGCUUUCUGGUUGUAUUGUUUGUCAGAGAAAUAAACAUGUAUAAUACCAUGUUAGGCAGUUAGGCAUUGAUUGUUGAUUUUCUACGCCCUCGAGGUUUCCCGCGCUGGCGGGGUAAAAGGAAGGUUGUGGUAGAGCUUUGAUUGGUAGCAUAACCAACCAAACUUUCGAGGUUUGGAAUGCACUUGGCCCGCCGCGCCAAACUGCCGUUAUAGCAACCUGGCCGACAGACGUAAGGAGGUACAUUAGGGUUAGGGAUAUAGAGAAUGAGAUACGGAAAUUGGCUUCUUUAUUAUUGCUUGCCAUAAAUAAUUGAAUCUAAUUUAUCUAUCAAAUUUACUUGGUUGGCAAAAUAAACUAUUAAAAUUAUAAAUAAGAUUGAAUCCAAUUAUACCAAACCCAGUGAUUUCCUAAAUGCUCAUGAUUUUGCUUAUUAUGUGCAUGAAGUCACCUUGUGGAACAGCUUGUUCUCAAGCUAGAAUAUGGGAUUAUCCUCCUUGAAUGCCUAUAUUGGCCAUAAGUCUAGUGGCUAGAAGUUUGGCCAGUUUUGGAACCGUCAUGCCCUGAUUGAAAUGACUCCUCUAUUCAAUGCCAAGCUUCACUUUCUUCACGUUGAUCUAACUCGAAUCGUUGCAUCAAUGUGACUCCUCGAAUCCAUUAGCGCUUGACCUGCCCACCUUCCAGCGCCGCUCAGGCAUCUUAAUUCCAUCCAGCGCCCUCCUGAUUCCAUGGCCUGGCGAGUUGUUACUGAUUUUCACUCUCCUUCACAAAAUGUUCGUCGUGAAUAUUAUCUCUCUAACAGCACGGGAUUUCACCCGCCUCAAGAGUUGCAAUGAGGGCAACGACGCAGCGGAGCACGACAGCUCCUGUUACAACUUACGUGCUCUUAGUCUCUCUCUCUCUGUCUCUGCUUUGUCUAUCUCCUGCACAGAAGGUGUUUGAUGAUUUCCUCCUUUCGAAGAUUUAUUGGCUUCCCAGAACAUAUAGCUCAACUUAGUUCCCCUGUGCAAGAGGUGCGGCGUGUUCAAGAUUUCCUGUGUUUUGGUGUAUUUAGAUUGGCCGUGGUGUUAAUUGUUUUUAAUUUGAUCGAUCAGUAUGGUAGGUAAUAGUGACAGAAUACCAAAAUCAGAGAUGCGAUUUCCCCGGUGUAUAAUUGGUAGGAGGCAGCAGUCAAACCUUUUUGCUACCUGAAUGUUAGAUGUGAAUUAGGAACAAUUCAUCUUAUUUUCUCUUCAGGACACGUUCAGUUGCAUCACACAGAAGCAAGUAGUGGAUGCUAUUCCAUGCAUUUUCCUUUGUACUGCUUCCGUUUCCAAUUGAUUCGCGCCAGCAAUUUUGUGAAGAGAUGCGAUUUCCCCGGUGUAUAAUAGGUAGGAGGUGGCAGUCAAACCUUUUUGCUACCUGAAUGUUAGGUGUGAAUUAGGAACAAUUCAUCUUAUUUUCUCUUCAGGGCACGUUCAUCUUAUUUUCUCUUCAGGGCACGUUCAGUUGCAUCACACAGAAGCAAGUAGUGGAUGCUAUUCUAUGCAUUUUCCUUUGUACUCCCUCCGUUUCCAAUUGAUUGGCACCAGCAAUUUUGCAAAAAGCCAGUGCUAUUUCCCGAAAUCGACCCGCAGUCCACGUUCUAUCAGAACUUUUGCGAAAACCCCCCCUGUUGUUUUUGGAAGUCCACGUUCAAUUGAAGCUGUGUACUGCGGGCUGAUUUUGUAAAUUAACAGGGUUUUUGUUUUUUUGCAAAAUUGCCGGCGCCAAUCAAUUGGAAACAGAGGGAGUUCAUUUAAAAACAGGGUUGACACCAUGCUAUUUCAUGCACUUAUUUUCUUGUCAUACAUUUAUAUUGUUAAAUGUGUAGCAUAUGUAGCAUGUGCACUAUGCCACUAUCUAGUGUUUUCCCUUUCAACCUUGCAUGUAUAUGCUCCUAUGGAAAUGCCUAGUUUUUAGUUCUGAACUAUGGCACGAGAUCUCUUGACCUAUACGUUCACAACGAACGCAACCAGUAACACUGUACCUGUUGGCUCUACGAUGUUUGAACAUUGAAUUGAAAUUUGGGCGUACAAUUCAACUUUUGUGUUUGUUGCCACUCAUGUGCUAAGAUUUUUCAAGAAAGAAGGGCAGCCAGAAAAGGUAUGCAAGAUACAACUGGUUACAGUGAACUAAAGAGUUUGUCUUCACCUAUUCCAGAGCUUAACAUAAAUUAUCUACUCGUAUCCAUCUCUUCAGUAGUUCAAAGGCUUCCACUCUCUCCCUUGGAUGAUAGGCACCAAAUUUAUAUGGAACUCAGCAAUAAGUGAAGGGUAUUAAAAAAAAUCACGACCUCAAGUUACGUGCCUGAAAAAUAAGAAACCUGAAGGUGCCAUGAUUCCUUAUUUAAGCAUCAGGCAUUGUGCGGCAUAAAUCAUAAAAACUGAACUGCGAGUCUAGCAUCUUCCACCUGCAACAUUACUGACCAGGGUGUCCCUGGGUUGCUACUUCCUGAUUUCGCCAAUUCAGAGGCAAUUUCAUUGACGUUACUCAGAUAUAUAUUAUCACCCUAUAACCUCAUGACAGUGUAUGUUGUGUUGCAUGCACUUCUUGUUUGUUCAUAAUACAUUAUGCUUACAGUUCAUGGAUGUAACAUAAGUAUAAUGAAGGAAGCCAGGAGUUGAGUUACUCUUGUGCAUGCUUCAAAGUUCUAGCUGACCUGUCAUCUUUUAUGGUUAUUCUGUAUUACAUUCUCAUUGUAAUUCUGCUGUAUAGAAAAGUUAUGUUCAUUCUGAUGUGGUUUCAUCUGUAUAAUUUUCUCAUGUGUAAAUUAUCUUUCAGAAGGAAAAAGGUGAGUGCUGAGUGGAAGAAUGAUGUCCGCCCUAUGCUGUGGAGGUUCCAGUGGUUAGAGCUGCGCAUGAAGGAACUUUCAUCUCAAGUAUCAAAGUAUGACAGACAACUUGCACUCAUCGAGCAGGAAAAGGAAUUGCAGCAGGCAAUAAACAAGACAAAUGGUUCUAGGAUAGAAUCAGGGAAGAGUUGCAAAGGCCAUGAAAAUAUUAGCAUGGUGAGGAGAAACCGGAAACGACAUGAAGACACUGCGGACACUUCAUCGUACCUCAAGAAGCACCAGAUAUUGUCAUACUUCUUUGGUCUGUUAUCUAUUCCUUCUCUCGUUUUAAGGAUAGGACAGUACUUUUUAUCCCAUGGUUGUCUAUGUUUUGCACCAUGUUACUAUUGGUAAAUAAUAUUGUCCUUCUGAUCUUUGGCAGAUAAAGAUAAGCAAAACAAGGGGGCUGAAACAGAUGGUCUCAUAAUUGAGGAUGAUAGUCAUGGUCCAGGUAUGGAUAUGGUGACAUGCCCAUGUCUUAAAAUUCUGUGCUGUAAUUAACAAAUAAAGUUAUUUACUAUCUAGCAAGAUCCUACAAGUUGCCACAUUACUUAACUGUCAGGAAAUGCUUGCUUGUAUUAGGGCACCUUCAUUUGUGUUUUAGUCACAUGCUAACGGUCUUCAUCUUUAGAAGGUUAAAAAGUGGUGAUUCUACUAUGAGUUAUGACUAUGACACAUUUAAGUCUUCUAAAAUCAACAUACAUCUGUGCAACCCAUUUUGCUAGGUGCACAUUCAUUGGAAGAAAGCUGACAGACCUAAUGUCAUCUUGUUGAUAUGAUUGGUAAAAAUGGUCAGGACAGCGAGUGCUUUAAUUUUUUAUCUUAUCAAAACUAGCAAAAAUACCCAUGCUUUGCUACGAAUUAGAAAUAACACACUGCAUGUUUAAAUAGAAUGUUAUACUAUCAUUUGUUGCUUUUCAUCAAAUAAUUCGUACCUCCUCUCUCAUGUCAAUGGUCUGUGCAUAAUCAUUAGGUGUCAUGAUUUAAAGGUGACGGAUCACCGCCACCGAUUUAAACCUUUAUAGGAGUAAAGAAUCGUUGACCUAAUUGUAUGAAGUAGCCGUAGGAGUAAUUAAUAUUUAAUGCAACCAUGUCUUGGCAUGUGUCUCCAGCUUCUGCCUAUAGAAUAUUUGGUUGUCAAUACUGAAAAUGCAAAAUACCCUCUGGGUAUUAAAUAACUUUCUCAUUGCAAGUGUUAUCUGUUCAUUUGAUUUUUUUUUUCCUAAUGCAGUUGGUGAUGGUACUAAAGGUCGGGCCAAUGCUGCUAGUUUGCAUGCGCCCAAGGAAUAUGAUGCGGUUUCAGAGCAAUUCAUGUUACAUAAAGUUCUCAUGAAAAUUGGCGAUAUCCAGUCUCAAGUUCAUCAUCUGCAAGAGCAUCUCAGCAAGGCUCGUACUAAACAAGUAAAGUUGUCAUCUCUUCUGGCUUAUGCCCAGGUCAACGGAACUGAGAAGAGGCAAAGGACACAAAAACGUUCAUUUUCUUAUAAGAAUGAUCGAUCUGUUAAACCACAGAAAAAGAAGAAUCUAAACAUUUUACUGGAACAAGAGGAUAGACCAGCUCUUGCAGUAAUACCUACAUCGUCUGAGAGGGCAACUGGUUGUCUAAUCGAAGUUUCACAUGGGAAUGGUGAAGAAAAAGCUGGGGAGAGGAGCCAGUCACAUAAGAAAGCUAUCACAGCGGACCUACUCCUAGGUUUUGACAGUUCCUUACCAAAUGGUCAUAUCUGCAAUGAAGUAAGUCCUUAUGUUUCUUGUUUGUUUCAGACUUUCAGUUCAGUUGUAUUCAAGUUGUUGCUUAUGAGUUAUUAGUUGGAACCAUCCACCCUUGUGUGUGCACAGCAGGACUGGGAUUUAGAUUUCCCCAGUUACGUAAUGUAGACUUAUAAAGUAAACGCCAUAUAGCAUCUGCCAAAAAACUGUAUGGAUGACAACUUGUCUACUUUUGAAUUCCGAGAUAAUCUUGAUGAUAACAGAUAAUAUACUACUCCCUCCGAUCCUAGGCCCUUUUUGGUUGGGCUUAAAACUGCGUUUUGACUUUUGGCUUAUAAGCCACAAAAGCACCUAAAUAGUUGCUUUUGACUUUGGCUUUUUGCUUAUACCAUCAUCUAACAAUAUCAAGUCAAAUGUCAAAAGCCAAAGCCGAAAGCACCUAAUUUGGUGCUUUUGUGGCUUACAAGCCAAAAGUCAGAAAUCAGUUUUAACCCAACCAAACAGGGCCUAAAUUCUUGUCGUGGUUUUGGUAGAACUUAGGAUCGGAGGGAGUGAGAAUUGUUAUCAAGUACGUAUUGGAUAUGGGAUUUGGAACCUGUGUCAGAUGUGUACUACCUCCGUCCAACAAUAAGGGGCGUAUUAGGUUUACUUUGACCAAUGCUUUGACCACAAAUUACUCUAUUAAUAUAUAAUUAUAUAAUAUAGAUUCAUAUCCAUUAUAUUCCUGCUCAAGGAUAUUUGCUCAUGGAUAUGAUUUUGAUCACAUUAGUCAUAUAUUCAUGAAGUAAUUUGUGGUCAAAGGCUUAGUCAACCGAACCCUAAUAUGCCCCAUAUUGUUGGAUGGAGGGAGUAGUUCUUAGGAGUAAAUUUCGUAGGAUGAUGCUUGUACAUCGGAUCUAUCCAGAAUUUCAUAUUUAAUGUACCGGGACUAGGUAUAAGACAUCCCCAUAGUAAAUUGAAGGUUGUAGCACUGAAGACAUCACAGCCACAGGGCAAUGUGCUGAGGCAGUUCACUGGUAACAUUGGUUAGAAAAGCACACAAGUGUAUUCUAAAUCUCUUUUGCAGCUACCUAAUCUUCCAAUGGUAAUGUAAUUUUGAUUAUGUCAUACGUCUUUCUCCAUCCAGUAAUCAUCUGAUUCAUCUCACUGAUUAAGAGCCUUUUAUUUGGGUAUUCUCCUUUUUUUAGUUAGUUUCUUGGGUAAUAUAUUUUCGUGUACAUUUAGUUGAUACUGCUGUUGUUUCUUUCCACAGAACACUGAUGAUAUCCUCAUAGACAAUCGAGGAGCCAAAGUGUAUGAACCGUUUGAGAACGUCGAGCAUUCACAGGAGAAACUAUCAGCGCUGACUGAGAAUGUUGCUAAAACUGCUCCUUCCAAAGCUGACAAUACCUCUGCACAGGUUGGAGCUGAGAAAAUUUCUGUUCCAGUGGUUAAGAAGCAACUAAUUCUUGAAAACCAACAACCUUUGAAGCAUGUCUACUCUGGAAAAAAACGGGGACGGCAGCCCAAGACCGAAGGUACGGGCUCUGCAGCUGCAUCCAAGGAGCAGAGUGAACAGGCCUCCAAAGCACCUGCUGCAAAGCAGUGCAAGACUGGAAAUUCUUCCUUGGCUGCAAAGAAGCUGCAAACCGGGAACUCAUCCUCAGCCUCAAAGAAUCUGAAUACCGGGAAUUCAUCCUCAGCCACACAGAAUCUGGAAACCGGAAACUCAUCCCCAUUCGCGAAGAAGCAGAAAACGGGCAACUCAUCCUCGAAUGCAAAGAAGCAGGCAGCUGGAUACCCAUCUGCUGCAAGUACAGAUGCGAGUGGAAACACCCCCACCAAUAUGAGGAUUGAGAAGGCUGUCUUGGUGGAGGUGAACAGCAGGAGGAGUCAAAGGGCCCGGAAGCCCAAGGUUUACUGAAGCAAACCAGCCUAAUCAAGUGCAGCGUGGUGUAGUUGUAAGAAACAUGUCUUGUUUAAUAAUGUAUCCCUCUUGGCUUGCUGAAGUUAAGUAGCUGUGUUGACCGAGUUCAUCCGAAAUGUUAGUGUACAUAUCCCUUAUGUCGUCUGAGUCACCAAUCUAAACUGAAAAUAUGUUAUGUAUAGUUGUUCUUUGCUGAGUAUGUGCUGCAAAUGCAGUUGCAACUUGGCGGUCAGCAUCUCACCGAAAUCUUUACUGCAUUAUUUUGUGGUACUAGUAUUUGCAGGAGUAUUCACCUAGCAUUUGUUGGCCCCUUGGCUGCUGCUGUUUGAAUCAGGCUGGGAUUCCAGCUGAACUACCCUUUGGCACUGCUGCCCUGGAAGUAAUGUUGGUGUGUAGUUCGGCACUUCGAUGGAUGGAGCUGAGGGGCACAUUACCUCGUACUCUACCAGCCUGCAAACUGUGGUUGACGAUUUACUGAUUUUUGAGGAACAAAAGAUUCUCUUGAACUGUUGCUUCAUUAACGCAUGCGCAAGGACUGUGAUGCCCAUGCCUGUGACCACAUGAGCUCCGGAUCAAGAUUCGUCACUUGAGGACAGUUGUAUAUCAAUCAUGGUGGGGUUGCGGUUGCGAAACGUCAUGAGAUGGUCCAGAUACGUGAGUAGUGGUACUGCUGGUACUGGUUCUAUGCGAAGAAUGCAACGAGUUAAGAGAGAGUUUAAAGCCCUCUUGAUCGGUCAUAAAUUCAGUUGUAUUGCUGCGUUUGCAACAACAGGGUUAUCGACGGUGAGUUGAUAUGCUGCACCAGUUUUACCCGAGGAAAUUUUAUCCAGUGGCUACAAGUUAGUGUUGAUAAACAUCCUAGUCAUUGGCUUCGGCUACAUUUCUCUCCAUCGAUGUGAAAAUGUGAACCAACGGACAAAUUAGCGGUAUCAAGCGGGAUCUCACCAAAGCCCCACUUUCAGGCACAUUUUUAAAUCGUUGAUCAAAUACUUCCUCCAUCCAACAAAAGAUGUCUCAAGUUCGUUAAAAUUUAGAUAUGUCUAGACAUGACUUAUUAUAUAGAUGCAUUCAAAUUCAGUCAAAGUUGAUACAUCCUACGGAGGAAAUAUUUGAAUUAGAAAAUCUUUUAACGAAGUGGGACAUGGGAUCCCACUUGCAUUCAUCCCAACUGUAAAUACACGCUCUCCUGCAUGACCCAUAAUUCCAUAAAUAGAAGCAAUCAAUCAAAAGAAAGCAGCAUUUUUGCAGCUGACAAUCGACAGGUAGGAGCAGCUCAAACAUCACGUACCUUUUGCGCUAUCUUAAGCCUUAACUCCUUCGCUAAAAUUACUCUUCGAGUCGAAGUCAAGCACUGUUCAGUGACCACUAAUCCUGGUCCCUGGGGCAGCAUCUCAGUAAUGAGAGGGAGUUAUAAUACUUUCCAGCAAUGUGAAAAGAACUUUAGUCGUCUAAAAGAUCAACGCUCUGCCCCUAAAAAGUACUCAUUUUUCUUGCUAUUUUACAAAUAUAUGCCUGAUUUUCUCCACGGUUUUGUAGAUAUUUUUUCCCAACAGAAUGUGUGCUCGGUGCACUUCUUUUUGUUGAUUCAGAAAGCUGGAUUCAUUUUUCAUCUCACAUUCAUGUAGCCCUAACCGGUUUUCUUAAAUUUUCUGUAUAUUUGGACCCCAAAGACUAAUUAAUCAUGUUAAUACUACUAAACAAUUUUAAUGUUGUCAUCCUACUGGGUGAAGCAAAGUAGAGUUAAAGAGAGGUGGAGGGGGACUGAACCAAUGAUGCAACUAAUUGCGUAAGAAAAGUGUGGGGAGACCAAGACCAAUUGUCAAAUUGUUUUCUCUUGAUUAUUUUGCCUGUAAAAGACUAUCCGUAUGGUAAUCCUUUUGGCUUCUAAGUGACACGAAGCCUGGUUUAAAUCUAUUGCGAAAAUCACAUUUUCGGGUUUUCGGGUCUCAAAAUAUACAUGUGCAUAGGAACGUGUGUUACGUGUAUGUAAUUUAUUAUGAAAUAUUGUUGAUUUUGAGCUACUAGAAAUACAUUGAUUUCAAAUAGAACUACAGUUUGCUACUCCAUAUAUUUGUGUUUGUACAUGGAUCACAAAUCAAUGUAUUUCUUGUUGGAAAUGUACAAAUAUGUACUCCCUCCGUCCCAUAUUAGGUGACCCAAAUAUGUCUAAAUAUGGAUGCAUCUAUAUACUAAAAUACGUUUAGAUACAUGUAAUAGAAAGUCAUUUAAUAUGGGACGAAGUGAGUAGUAUACAUAUAUACUUGUACUCAAAGUUUUCCAAAUGUUUUUCAAACGUUUGAAUACAAUUUCAGUUAUUUAAAAUUUCAGGCUCCCUGUAGCUCGGGAGCCAAAAGUACUUGUCUUUAUGCAUAGAUGUUUAGAGCUAAGAGGUCUCGAGUUUGAUACCCGGCUGGCCCAAUUAAAUUGGAACCCACUUUCGAUCCACAUUUAAGCAUGAGGGAGCCACACGUGAGGGAAGUGUUGAAAUAUAAAGUGAACGAGAAGACUAGAAAGCGACUGCUUGGGCCUUGGAGCACCGUCCCAACCAAGUCGUUUAAUUUUCUUAAGCGAUAAGCUCAAUUGAUACUUCCUUCUGAAUUUAUAAAGUAUGGAGUACGCCAUACAUUUUAUGUUAAAUUUCAAUCAGCUUUUAAGUUGGAUUAGCAGUACACACUUAUUGUGGCAGUAAAAAUGAGAUUAACUAGGUGAUUUCCCACGCGUUGCCGCGGAAAAUUUUAUAUGCACGUCUAAAUAUGAUUUUAGAAACAAAUAAUAAUAUGAUUUAAUGCAAAAUAAAUAUGAAUAUUGUAGGACAAAACGAUUUUAUCAUUCAUAACAACUAUGCAACAAAACAAUAGGUAUAAUUUUGAUGUGCAUGAACAUUAACAAUUUCGAGGAAACCGAGAAGUGAAGUUUCGUCAACCUGAAUAUUUGUAGAUCUUAGAAAACAUAACAUACACAUCAUGAAAAUAUGUGUGUUUGGUGAAAUAUUUAUAUGCAACGUGAAAAUGAAAAAUCUUAGGUAUCAAAAUAUUAAAUUCGAAUGGACCAUUAAAAUGAAUUCCUAUGUACAAUAACACAUGAUGUGGAUGGUGAUGUGGAGCCUUUGAAUACCCAUGAUGUGCAUGAUGUGGAUGAUGAUGUGGACACCUGGCAUGUCAAACUUGCAAACAUUAAUUGCAGUUAGUGGGGAUCAACUUUAUAAGUUAUAUAGAUUGCCUAGUCCUUUUCAUCAGAUCGAUCUUUUGCUUGCGUUAACUAGCGGAUGAAGCCCUUCGGAUACUAACGGCUCUCCCAAUGCAUAAUCUGUUAGCAGGUUAUCUUAGGUGGUGAUAAUUCAUAAGAGACAAACUUCAUAAUACAUUAUCUCUUAGUUGUUGUCUCUAAAGAAGGUUGUGUUGGUUAAUUUUGGAGGUAUGAUUGCAUUUGACUGAGGGAAUUAAUGCUUUUGUCUAUGUCUAAGUGCAAGAGCUCUAUCACAGUAAGCAAGAGAUAACCUCACUCUUUUUCUUUUUUCUUUUUCUUUUGCGGGUAACAUCACUCUUUUUCUUCAUUAAUUAGUACGCCAUAUGCCAUCAAAAUGCUUAAAAUUUUGUCUCAAGAUACCCCAACUGAGAGAGGCCUAAUUCAAUAGUAGUUGCUAGAUAAGCCAACUAGGGAAUUGAUUAUUUUCUUGUGAUAAGACCUAUUUAUGCCAGUGGAAUAAGAUGUCGGCUUGUUAAAACAUCACCAUUGGAAAUUACGGCUACAAACUAGCACACCCUAACUCUUGGUAUUUGAUUUGCUACAAUUUGAACACAGGAUCGGGUCUUGGCCUAUGAGUUAAAAUAGUAGUUGGGGAGUUGGAGCAGUAAAGCCAAUAAGUACUCGGACCUGAUUAAAUGCGCUCUGUCCCGUCUGUUAGAGUGUGUGGCUAGCUGUGGUUAGAAGCGUAACGAGGCUGUAACGCUAACGGUAUCUACGCUCAUCUUCUUGGCCGCAUAAUUACUGACACCGUUUAGCUGAUUGUGUUUCAAUUAAUUAGCUGAUUGUGUCUUCUAAUAAAGUAUUGAUUAGCAUUGUACUUGACAUCAUAUUAAAACAAAAAGCUCUCCAUGUGACAUAAAACUCUGCAUAGGACACCUCAAACCUUUUUCUUCUCUCUUGUUCUCUCUCUCAAUUUUUACGUGUGACAUAAAGCUCUGCACAUAUUUCUUCCCAUUUCUUUUCUACUGCCAAUGAAAAUUUAUUUACAGGAGAACUAAUGUACAUAUUUUUAUUUCUUUUCUUAUUUUAUUUUAUUUUUUGUUCAAAAUUUGAAAGUGCACAAAUGAUGUUACAUUGCUCGUUAUCGAUGUAGAUUAUGGUACCUCCUCAACUCAUAAUUGUACCUCAUGCACCAAGAAAAAAACAUUGGUACAUGAUGGUACUUAAAUCACAAUAUCCGCCAAAAUAAAACAAGUACCUCCUCAACUUAUAAUUGUACGUCAUGUAUCAGUAUCAGAAAAAAAAAUAUGCACAAACAUUCAUCAAAACUUAGUACCUCAUGAUGUACCAAUUCAUCAAAACUUAGUACCUCAUCUGUAAAUACUGUGUUCAUCAACUCAUAAUUGUACGUCAUGUAACAGGAGAAAAAUAUAAGCACAAACAUUCAUCUAAAUUUAGUACCUCGUCACGUACCUAUUCAUUAAAACAUAGUACCUCGUCUUACCUCGUCUGUAAAUAUUGUCUACAUCAAUUGUACGUCAUGUACUAGAAAAAAAAUCAAAAACACAGACAUUCAUCAAAACUUCGUACCUACCGAUGACACAUGAGGUACUCAAAAAACACGGCACACCGUUCAAGAAUACAUGUUACAAAUCAACUCAUCGGCACCUUCCACGAAUCCGAUUCACUAGAUGGUAUACAUCUUCGGUAAGGGAUCAGGUGGCAUGAAGCUCACCGUCGAUGGAUCUAUAUAAAAAAAGUACUUUCUGCACUCACCACCGACUUGCCGCCACAGGCUUUGGGACUGGAUCUUCCGGCGGGUCGGCAGGCAGGGACGGGUCCUGGGAGGCGAGCAGAGAGGCCACCGUCCCAGCUUGAUGAGGUAGCUAGCUUUGUUAGAGUUUUUGUACAAUUUUCUUUGAAUAAACAAUGCUCUUAGUUUUUAGCCCAACCUUUUUUUAAUAAACAGGGGUCAACUAUUUUCAUCUAAAUGAAUUGUGGGAACAUCUAGUUCUCCAAGAAGGUUUUAAAAAUAGUAAAACACAUUAGAAAUAUUAUUUCUAUUUUAAAGGUGACACGUUAAUCUCUAAACUUUGGAAACACACGUUUGGAUCCUAAUAUUUUUAUGUUGUUCAUCACAAGUCUUAUGUGUGUAUUUUCGUGUCUGACCGAUGACAUGACUGUUUGACCAACGCCAUGUAGGCAUGGUCCCACCUGUCAGGUACCCCUUAAAAAACCCCGUUCUCUGUCUGUUGUGCUCCCUUUGUCCACCGAACGCCCGGAACAACAACUCAUCCGGCAGACGGAUUCGAUAGCAAGGGCAGCUCAUCAAACCAUGCCAUGAUGGUAAUGUAGUACGAUACUGGUACUCUUUUCGUCACUAAUACAGUAAGAUGUUGUAAUUUUGUGCCAAGUCAAAAUUCUUAAAGUUUGAACAAAUUUAUAAAAAAAACUACCAAAUCUACAACUCUAAAUUAGUUUUACUAAGCCUAUCAUGAUAUAUAACAUCUAGUUGACUUACUUGAUGCAGUAGAUAUUAACAUGUUUUUUUAUAAAUUUAAUCAAAUUAUUAUAAAUAAAAAAGUUGACUAUAAAUGUAAGUAUACUCAUCAGCUAAUUGUAGUAAUCCCUUCGACACAUAUUACUUGUCUCAAAUUUACCAAAUACGAAUAUAUCUGUAUUUUAAAAACGUUUAAUAUUUCGACAGGUAACAGGGUUCGAAGGAGUAUCAUUCAUACAUGCUCUAUGUGAAUGUAAGUACCACACAUCAGCUGUAAUCGCCGUGCGUCGCCAAUCUAGAGCCGGGCACAACAGUAGUACUGUACAAGUUAAUUUCCCCUUCCAUCUACUACUCUCUUUCGGAAGAGCACAUAAGAAGGCAAGAGCCAAGGAAUCGGAGGGAUCAGACCAAGAGAAGCCAUGGUGCAUCCAGUGGCGGAGGCCAACGAGCGGAGCCCCUUCGGCGAGCUCACCGCCGAGGAGUUCUACGCGCGUCACGGCGUCACGCACUCGUCCUCCACCUUCGUCAACCCGCGCGGGCUCCGCAUCUUCACCCAGCGCUGGGUGCCCAGCGGCGGCGCCCCGGUCCUCGGAGCCAUCGCCGUCGUCCACGGCUUCACCGGUGAGUCCGGCUGGAUGGUGCUCCUGACCGCCGUCCACUUUGCCAAGGCGGGCUUCGCCGUGGCCGCCGUGGACCACCAGGGCCACGGGUUCUCCGAGGGCCUCCAGGCCCACAUCCCGGACAUCGGCCCGGUCCUGGACGACUGCGAGGCGGCCUUCGCCCCCUUCCGCGCCGACUACCCUCCGCCGCUGCCCUGCUUCCUCUACGGCGAGUCCCUCGGCGGCGCCAUCGCGCUGCUGCUGCACCUUAGGGACAAGCAGCGUUGGCGCGACGGCGUGGUGCUCAACGGCGCCAUGUGCGGGGUGAGCCCCCGGUUCAUGCCGCCGUGGCCGCUGGAGCACCUGCUGUGGGU
RNAcentral lists this long non-coding RNA (28670 nucleotides) under Brachypodium distachyon (stiff brome). RNAcentral's name for it is "long non-coding RNA (BDIS_LNC001735)". Lineage: Eukaryota; Viridiplantae; Streptophyta; Magnoliopsida; Poales; Poaceae. The record is from RNAcentral.